Molecule: non-coding RNA, 1527 nt
Organism: Meleagris gallopavo (turkey)
Lineage: Eukaryota; Metazoa; Chordata; Aves; Galliformes; Phasianidae
Source: RefSeq, a predicted model, not a curated record
GCAGCCGCUACACCUCUCCAACUCCCUCAGAGUCUGGUGCUGGAGGCCGCCAUCUUAGCUCCGGCAGCGAGACCGCCCUCUCGACGCAGACGCCGUCAGACCCGGGCCCGUCACGGGACACGGUGCCAGUGAUACUAAAAGCUAAACCUGAGUCAGCAGGAAGACCUGUUUACAGCAAAACUUCUACAAGACCAAUCAUUCAGGAAAGUGGAGAAGAUAGCUGCACAAGUGUCAUAAAGAAGCUGAUUUAGGAUAGGAAGGAUCUUAUCUCCAUAAUGAGAUCAGGAGACUGUUGUUCAUAAUGAUGGAAGUUAAUGAGAAAUUUCAGACUGUAGUAACAUCACAGUGUGGGAGGAACUGUUUUGAAAGCUAAUCACGCUGAAUUUCCUGGAGGCACACCUAAAGAAAGAAAUCUCUGUUUAUAUAACCGGGCAGUUAAAAGAGCUUUUAAAAAGAACUUGGGAGUCCUAAAGGGAUAAUUAACUGAGAAAGCUUCAGAGCAGUUCCUCAGUCUUUUUAGAAACACAAUCUAUGUCUUCCAGAGGGCAUGAGUGAGGUGCAGUAUCUGCUUGCUGAGUGUGACAGUGGUGUUGAUGCUGACCAGGUGAUGUUGACUGUUUGCUGGGGUACUACCAUCUGUGGUGGUGUCAGAGCAUCUCCUGACUCUAUACCAAUCUGCAUUCAUGCACAGGAAGACAUGCACCUCCAUAUCUUCCAUAUUCAAGCUCUCAUCACUCUGAGGGAGAUGGGGUGAGAGGAAAACAGGCCUGACCUUGCCUCAGAGAUUGCUACAUCCUUCUGAGAAUGGAGUGGAGGAGGAGCCUCACGUGCAGCUUGCUCUAUCCUGACUUUGUUGGAGACCUGGCCAGUAACAAGUUCUUCCAGGAGAGAGAAGCACACUCAUUGUGCUGGACCUGCUGGUGUCCACAAACUGUUGGUGAAUUGCCAGUGCCUGGCUUCUCUCCGUAAACCCCAGUCUGCAAUCAGACAACUCAGCAUGCCCUGGUGUUGGACUCAGUGUCUUCGAAAUCAGUGACUAAUCACAGCUUCCCAAAAGAUGCAGAAGAGGCAGAAUGUGAAACACAGACUCCAGAUUCCGCACACCAGCUGCCUUGAUCUCAUCCUGAGGGAAAGAAGAUACCUCUUCUCUAUAUUCUUUUGUAUUGAAUGUUAAAAUAGAGAAAGUGAAAAAAACUAAAUGAAAUUCUGUAUAUGAGAUACACUGAAAUGUUUAUAUUAUUUUCAAAACUCCUGAGAUUUAAAUGUUUAUGUUCAUCACCAUUUAAGAGGUGAAAGAUGUUUACACUGAAGAAGGCACAACAGUAGUUUUCAUAUAUUUGAAGACUGCAGUCAAGGGGAAAGUGAAAAACUUGUAAUUGCGGGGCAAGAAAAGAAACAGACUGGAUUUGCAGAGAGGCAGACUGAGCAUAGACAUUGGCACAAAUUAAAGAUAAGAAGAGUGAAGCACUGCCAGAGACCAGACCCAAAGUAUCUAGUCUACUUCCUAUUUCUUCUGGAUGUACACAG